UGCUUACCAUGCAGUCGACGGUAACAGAGAGUAGCUUGCUACUCUGCUGACGAGUGGCGCACGGGUGAGUAAUAUAUAGAUAAUGUGCCUUUUAGUCGGGGAUAGCCAUUGGAAACGAUGAUUAAUACUGGAUACUCCUUCUAACUCUAAUGUUAGUCGGGAAAGUUUUUCGCUAAAAGAUCGGUCUAUAUCCCAUCAGUUAGUUGGUAAGGUAACGGCUUACCAAGGCAAUGACGGGUAGCGGGUUUGAGAGGAUGAUCCGCCACACUGGUACUGAGACACGGACCAGACUCCUACGGGAGGCAGCAGUGAGGAAUAUUGCACAAUGGGGGAAACCCUGAUGCAGCAACGCCGCGUGGAGGAUGACGCAUUUCGGUGUGUAAACUCCUUUUAUAUGUCAAGAAAAUGACGGUAGCAUAUGAAUAAGCACCGGCUAACUCCGUGCCAGCAGCCGCGGUAAUACGGAGGGUGCAAGCGUUAUUCGGAAUCACUGGGCGUAAAGGACGCGUAGGCGGGUUGGUAAGUCAGAUGUGAAAUCCUACAGCUUAACUGUAGAACUGCAUUUGAAACUACUAACCUAGAGUAUGGGAGGGGGAGAUGGAAUUAGUGGUGUAGGGGUAAAAUCCG
This 627-nucleotide ribosomal RNA is filed under the name uncultured bacterium. RNAcentral describes it as "bacterial SSU rRNA". It matches the Rfam family "Bacterial small subunit ribosomal RNA", at positions 45 to 690 of the family's 1533-position model. The record is from RNAcentral.